This is a non-coding RNA of Cajanus cajan (pigeon pea), 6021 nucleotides long. NCBI's taxonomy places the organism in Eukaryota, Viridiplantae, Streptophyta, Magnoliopsida, Fabales, Fabaceae. The record is from RefSeq and is a predicted model, not a curated record.
AACGAUGCUAACUCCCACGAUUACAGAUUACUUAUUCAAAUAAAUACCUAGUGGCUCUUAGAUAUUUUCUUGCGUCCUCAAACCUCCGUCACUCGUUUCUCUCUCUCUCUCUCUCUCUGCGUACGGUUACAGACUCUAUUUCGUAGCUUCAAUCCUCCGAAGCAGAUCUCACAUUCAUCCUUCAAUGCUUCGUUUUCUUCUCUUUUCGGAUCCAUUCAUGGAUUCUGAUUCUCAGUUUACGCGAUUCUCUCGUCGAAUUUCGUUUCCGAACUGCAUUCACGCUCCAACCUUGCUCGCUUCGCUGUUCUCGCAUCUUCGUGGAUUCCGCUCUCAUGAAACGAGUUGUCUCGGUUUCUGUUCCGUUGAAGAACGGUGAGGAGGUUUCUUCUUCGGAAUCCGUUUGGUUUCCGAGAAUACGCGCGAAAAAGAAAGGGUAGAGACGUUUUUUAAUCUUUGUGGAGCAAUGAUCUUUAGAUGGAGACGUGUUUGAAUCUCAGCAUAAAGAUACAUGAUGUAGGCGGAUGAAGCUUGCAAGUAGAGGCCCAUCUUUUUGCUAAAAGAGGCAAUUGGGUGCCCUUUAUGGGUGAGGACAACUCCAAUAGCUACACCGAAGGCAUUGAUUUCAGCUGUAAAUGUAGUAGCAAAGUCCAAAAGUUGGAGAAUAGGGGUUGUAGCAAUGUUUGUUUCAAUUUUGUAAAGGCUAAAGUAGCCUCGUGAGUCUAAAGGAAUUUUCGUAAUGUAAGCAAAUCAAUGGAGGGGAGGUGAGGUGGCGUAUUGCCUAGUGAACCCGCGAUAAAAUCCAGUGAGCCCCAAAAAGUUGUGGAGUGCCAAGAGAGAUUGAGGUUGUGGCCAUUCAUGGUUUGCCUUUAAUUUAUCUUGAUUAGGAGUGACCAUGUGAUCAAAGAUAACAUGGCCUAAAUAGGACUUUAAAGUCACAUAAAAAACACACUUAGAGAAUUUGGCAAAAAAUUGAUUAGUGACUAGAAAUUUGAAAAUCAAUGUUAAGUGUUGUAAAUGAUCAGCAUUAGUAAGAUCUAACUUAGAGAUUAUUGUAGCAUUGCCCAAUCAUCUAAUAGUUCCUCUAUAGUAGGAAUCAAAGAAUGAUCCUUAACCGUCACAGAGUUAAGAGCUCUAUAAUCCACACAUAGGCGCUAAGAACCAAUAAUACAUGACAUGAAGAAGGGUCAUGACUUGGAAUGAUUAGGCCUUGGUUGAGGAGGUCUUGCAUGAGGUUGGUCAUUGCUUUUUUUUGGGAAUGGGGAUAGUGGUAGGGUUUAACACCGAUAAGGGAGGUAUUAGGGAGGAGGGUAAUAUGGUGAUUGUGGAAUUGGUUUGGAGGAAGGUCUGUGGGCGUAUGGAAAAUUGGUGAAUAUAUGAAAAGUAAAGUUUGGAUUUUGGGAUUUAAGGAUGAUGGAAUGGUUAAUGAAGUGGAGGGUGGGUUGGGUUUUUGAUUGAUUGGAAAAUUAAAAGGUGGCAAGAGGCAAUCACCUUAUGGUGCAACAUUUGGCUAAAUUGAUGGAAUGUGGAUAAUGUGGGUGGGUUAUGUGGAUCAGCUUGAAUAGUAAUGGGGACUCAUUAUGAGUAAAGGAUAGAUGAAGGGUGGAGAAAUUAGUGAUGAGGGGUCCCAAAGUACAUAACCAAUCCAUGCCAAGCAUGACAUCAACACCUUCAAUAGGUAUUAGGUAAAAAGGGUUGUAUAAUAGAUGACCUUGAGUGAUAAUUGGAACCUAUGCACAAAGGCUUCUACACGCAAUAUGUUGGCCAUUUCCCACCAUCACAAAUAACUUUGGUGUUGAGAUUAUGGAUAGUUGAAGGUGGUCUGCCAAAUAGGGUUGAAGUAUGUUAUGAGAGCUAUCAGUAUCUAUGGGCACACAAAUAGCAAUGUUACGAAAUUUGCCUUGAAUUGUAGAGUAUAUGGAGAAGGAUGAUCGAUCAAGGUUUGGAUGGAUGGAUGAAAAAGGUUAGUGUCGGGGUUUGAUGAAGGGGAAAAAUUAGGUUUAGUUGAAGAAACAAUGGCCUCGUCCAAGUUGUCCCCAACUUAAAAUAGGAAAUGAGAGGUGGUGCAUUUGUGACCUAGCACGAACUUAUCAUAAUUAUGACAGAGGCCUUAAGCCCUCCACUCCUGCAUUUGAGCUUAUGUGAGUUGUUUAAUGGGCUAAAGGGAGGUAUGUGAGGAGGUGUAAGAUAAGUAACUCAUGUCGAAGUUCUGAUUUUAAGCCAGAGACAACUAUUUAACAAGUUUUCAUUAGAAAGACUAUAAACCCUAUUAGAAAGUUUCUCAAAUUGCGCUUGAUAUUUAGAAACAAACCCAUAUUGACACAAUUUGUAGAGCUCUUCUUGAUGGUUCUCAUAGGAAGAUGGGCCAAAACAAAGCUCCAAAGCACGAGUAAAGGAGUGCCACUCAAUGAGUUGUUGAUUGUGGUACAUCCACGUAUACCAAUUGAGGGUUUUCCCUGCCUUAUAGAAAGCAACAAUAUGGAGACGAGCUUCCAAGGGAAUCUGAUAUAGGAGGAAAAACCGCUCGGCCUGAAAAAGCCAAUCAAGUGGGUUUGGACCUUAAAAGGUUGUGAGUUGGAGUCUUGGUGGUUAGAUAAAAGUGAUAGUGGGUUGAAUUGGUGGUGUAAAAGGGGGUUGAUGAGAGAUGUAGGGAGGGGUAUACCAGAUGUGAAAAGGUUUUGGGGGCACGGUUGGGUGGUAGUAUUGUGUGUGAAAGAGGUUGGCAUGAAGGAAAAAGGAAGGCCAAAGGCAUAGACAGGGUAAGGGAUAUUUUGAGAGGUGGUGGUGGGGGGGGGAACGGAGAUUGGCAGAGAUAUUGCCUGAAAGUGGGGUUGGAAAUGCAGGAAUAAUAGGGGAAGAGGUCAUAAUUGUGGAAUGAGAGAUGACAGAGUUAGUUACAGAAGAAGGUGAGCUUAAUGGCAAGCCAUUCAAGGGCUUAGCAGCCAAGGUGGUGAGUUUUUUCAUGACUACAUCCAAGGAUUGUUGCAUAGUGGCUUGGUGAGUGUCUUGCGCUUGUUGAGCUUCAAAAUAAGUUUGCAUUAUCCCAAAUUUUUUGAUGAGGUGAUGGAUGGCAUCGUCCACCUCCUUAGAUGGUUUGGGAGGCAUCAAGAUGAAAACACCAUUGUUAGGGAACUAUUAGGAAUUAGGGCUACACUGCCAAAAACUAUAAAAUUGGCUUACCCCAAAUUUUUCGAAGAACAAUCUUGAUCGAAAAACGAUUUCCUUUUACUCCUUCAAAAGUAGCUUCCCGCAUCCUUUGCUGUCUUCUCCACUGAGUUUUACUCAAAUUGUUGAAAGGUUGUCGAAAGCCACGACCAUAACUUCCCGUUGGGAAUUUUCCUAGAUUUCCUUGCACUGGGUUCCGUGGAUAAGCCAUCACUUGUUUCCCUCGACCUAUUCCUCCGACCAUAGGUCUUGGCGGUGCAUUCCAUUUGCCAAUAGGCACAUUAGCAUUUGGAACAAAAGUGUUAACAAACCUCGAUGAAUUAUACAUCUCCAUCUUUCCUACUGGAGCGUUAUAUUGAGGCAUGUGAACCUGCCUCAUAGUUAACCCAGCAUUCAACCCGACGUUGGGCUUAGGCUUUUGUCGAAGGUUUUCAGCCUUAUAAUUCAUCAUCAUAUCUGACUCCUCAAAAGCCUUAGCAGCAGCCCUAUCAAAUACAGCACUACAUCGAGGGCAUAACAUCACUUCUCUAUCAGCUUCUUUCUUUUUCGACAAGAAAUCAACUAAGCUAUCCCCCUCUUUAGGAUAAAUGGGCUCCUGCUCCUUAGCAAAAUCUUCCAUUAGUUCCUCGAGCUUCUCAUCAGAAAUGGGCUCAAUAUUGUCAUCCUCUUCGACAGUGACAUCCACCAUAUUGAUCCCUCCUAUCGAGACUGGCUCGACAUAUCCAGUAUGAGCAGCAAAUGGGUCUGUGUCCACUUUCAUAUCUUUCUCCUCAAAAGCAAGGCGACCAUCAGUAAUCGCCUUUUCGAUAAAAUCCCUGAAACGCACACAAUUGUUAGUCCAAUGACCAUACAUAUUAUGAUAUUUACAAAAUUUCUUUCCUUUUCUUUGCUCGAAUGGGGGAAUUUUAUGAUUUUCUGGGAGUACGAUUUGUUUAUCUCUUAAUAAAAUAUCAAAUAUUUUUUCCGCUUUCGUUACAUCAAAACUAUACUUCUUACUCGAAUUACCUUCUACAUUAUCUCCUGGUUUUAACAUUUGACACUGAUACGUAGGGCCAGGGCGUAGUUCUGCUAAGUUGAUCUCAAACUCCUCACUCGAGACUUCACAAUUAGAAUCUUCCCCAAGAUCUGAAUUUUCUAAAUACGCUACCUUCUCCUUUCGAACAAAUUUGUCAAAUUUUCUCAACCUUUCUUUUUCUAGUUUAAUUUGUUCGAUCCUUCUCACUUUUUCAGCCAGUUGGGCCAUAUCCCUCAACUGUUCGUUUACUAACUUCUUGCGUAUCGAGAAAUCUAACCCUGUCGCCGCAAUCCUAACUAAUUCAUGUUCAGGUAUAUUGGUGUAACAUCGAGAUUUUAAUUGCCUGAAUCUAUUCAAAUAGUCAUCCAAAGUUUCAUUAUCUUGUCUUUUGAUAUUCAUCAGAUCGACUAUACUAACUUUUGUUUCCUCUCUAAAGAAGUGUUCAUGGAAACUACCCUCUAACUGUACCCAUGUGUGUAUCGAAUUAGGAGGUAAGGUAGUAAACCAUGUAAAAGCAUGUUUAGUCAAUGAACUAGGGAAAUAUUUCAUUUUUAAAUAUUCGUUAUUUGCUAAAUCCCCACAUUCGACUCCAUACCUAGCUAUGUGUUCAACUGUUGACUCAGUCAAUUCUCCUGCAAAUUUCGAGAACUUGGGUACUUUUACUCCUCGGGGUAGUUCUGCUUGGGUAAUAUAAUCAGGAAAAGCUGACACGAAAUAUGGGCGUUCGUUUCGACCUACAUCGAAUCCAUGCCUAUUUAAUAUUCUUUCCACCAUCUGGUCUAAAUGAUCAUUGGGAUUCCCAUUAGGUCGAAUUACAUUCUGAAAAUUUCCAUGCCCCCCAAGGUUUUCUCUGUCAUUCAAGUUCGCACUCAUGGCUCUCGAAGGUGUUCCCUCACCUAGUUUAUCCCCUAUUUUGUUUAUCAAUUCAUACAGGGGAGUCAUAAUGUUAUGCAUUUGAGUUGACAACAAAUUGACCAUGUCAUGAUUACUAUGGUCCAUUUGCUGUCUAAGAGCCAUCAUAGCCUGGUUACUAAUUCCAGUGGGUACGUAACUGCCUUGUCGAAUUAACGAACCUUCCUGACUCGUUCCUAUAUGUUGAUAGGGGUCUUGCAUAACAAACCCCAUGCCGUUUGGUCCAGGAUUAUAUCCCUGUGGGGAUAUAUGCAUUUGGGGAUUAGGCCCUAUCAAGGGUACUGGCAUAUCAGCAUGUAUAGGUUGGGUACUUCGCCAAUUAGGUGGCAUACCCCAAGGAUACUCCCUCGUGACAUCUACCAGUUCCUGAGUUACAUUAUUUGGCCUUGCUGUGUUUUCGAGUAACACAGGAGGAGACCUUGCCCCCCCGGUCACAUUAGUAGCACUAUCAGGAUUGGGGUUAGGCUGUUCUACAUUUGCAUUAUUAUGGCUUGCAUUCGGAUUAUUAGACGUAGACAUAGUUCUCCCACUCCUUAAUCUCAUGCAAUUCACACACCUAAACUAGUCCAAUUAUGUUCUGAAUUAAACGAGUCCCACCGGGCGUGCCAAUUACCACUAGGUUUUGGGUCAAACAGACAAAUAGCCUAUUUAGGGAAAAUAACAACAAAGAAAUAAAAGAGAAUUGUUUUAACCCUUAACAUAAUCUUUCACCCAAUAUGGGUUUGAUGUCAAUCACUUGGGCCUAUCAAGUAGAUUUUAUAUUUGUAUAAAAAAAAUUAUGAAAAACAAAUUUAGAACAUACUUAAAUAGUAUUUACCCACAAAGCGCUAAAUCUUCCCAAGUCCUUUAGUCAACAAUAUGGGUUUGAGGUCAACCGCUUGUGACUAAAGGUCUAACUUACCACACUGCAAAUGUAAAGUCCAAUCUAGUGA